This is a microRNA precursor of Oryza rufipogon (brownbeard rice), 194 nucleotides long. It matches the Rfam family "MIR812 microRNA precursor family". The record is from Rfam. Lineage: Eukaryota; Viridiplantae; Streptophyta; Magnoliopsida; Poales; Poaceae.
UCUGUUUACAAACCCUACUUUUCGUGUGCAACUUUAACUGUACGUCUUAUAUGAAAUUUUUUUAUAAUUCGUAUUUUUAUUAUUAUUAGAUGAUAAAACAUGAUUAAUAUUUUAUGAGUGACUUGUCUUUUUAAUUUUUUUUUAUAAUUUUUUUAAAUAAGACGGAUGGUCAAAUAUUAGGCACGGAAACCAAG